AUCAAUUUUAUGUUUUUUAAAAGUACUAAAUCUUUAAAAUUAUUUAUUUGUUAAUAAUUUUAUUUUAAAAUAAUUAAGUAACAAUUAUGUUUGCAAAAUAACAAUUUUAAUUUUUAAGAAGUAAACUUUAUUGUUGUACCUUUUGUAUCAGGGUUAAUUAAUUUAUUAAAACUAUUUUUUUUUCCCGAAAAAUUAAGAUUUUAAUUGAUUUAAUAUUAGUUAUUUCAAAACCUUUAUUUAAUUCAAUUAAGUUUUGAAAUAAAAAUCGUUUAAUUUGAUAUCUGGUUAUUUUGGAUUUUAAUUUAAUUAGGGAUUUUUAAUUUUUAUUUUUUUUUUUUAUAAAAAUUUUAAAAUCAAAUUAAAGUUAGGUUAAGCUAAUUUUUAUUCUAUAAUUUUUUCUAAUUUAAAAAUUUGUAGGAUUAAAAUCUUUUUUCUUAAAAAUUUCGUUUUAGAAUUUUUUUUAAAUAUAUUUAAAAAUUUAGUAUUUUACAAUUUUUUUAGAUAAAAUAAUAUUUUUUUUUAACAAUGAUUAAAUUAGUAACUUUAAAUUUUAACAUUAUAAACUUGGCAAUUUUUUUUUUACUUGACUGUUUAUCAAAAACAUUUUCUUUUGUUUAUUUGAAAGGUAAAGCCUGCUCAGUGAAUUUUUUUAAAUAGCUGCAGUAUAUUAACUGUACAAAGGUAGCAUAAUAAUUAGUCUUUUAAUUGAGGUCUAGAAUGAACGGUUUAACAAAGUAAAAACUUUCUUAUUUUAAAUAUUUUGAAUUUAAUUUUUUGGUUAAAAAGCCAAAAUUUUUAAAUGGGACGAUAAGACCCUAUAGAUCUUAAAUUUUUUUUUAAUUAAGUAAAUUGGUUUAAAAAAUGUUUAAUUUUUAAAAAAAUUUUUGUUGGGGUGACAUUAAAAUUUUUAAAUCUUUUAAUUAUUUUUACAUUUAUAAAUGUAUAUUUGAUCUUAACUUUUAGAUUAAAAAAUUAAGAUACCUUAGGGAUAACAGCGUAAUAAAUUUGAAUAGUUCAUAUUGAUAAAUUUGUUUACGACCUCGAUGUUGAAUUAAUUAAAAAUUUUAGAGCAGGCACUUAAAAUUUAGGUCUGUUCGACCUUUAAUUUUUUACAUGAUUUGAGUUCAAACCGGUGUGAGCCAGGUUGGUUUCUAUCUAUUUAAUAUUAUAUUUAAUUAGUACGAAAGGACUUUUAAAUUAAAAAAAGUUUUUCU
Molecule: ribosomal RNA, 1214 nt
Filed under: Purohita sinica
Lineage: Eukaryota; Metazoa; Arthropoda; Insecta; Hemiptera; Delphacidae
Description: 16S ribosomal RNA
Source: RNAcentral